Molecule: transfer RNA, 74 nt
Filed under: Spirochaetota bacterium
Lineage: Bacteria; Pseudomonadati; Spirochaetota
Description: Spirochaetes bacterium tRNA-Cys
Rfam family: tRNA
About the family: Transfer RNA (tRNA) molecules are approximately 80 nucleotides in length. Their secondary structure includes four short double-helical elements and three loops (D, anti-codon, and T loops).
Source: RNAcentral
GUGCCCUUGACCGAGAGGCUAGGUAGCGGGCUGCAACCCCGUCAACGCAGGUUCGAAUCCUGUAGGGCACUCCG